This 645-nucleotide ribosomal RNA is filed under the name Pseudomonas sp. GA18-2. RNAcentral describes it as "bacterial SSU rRNA". It matches the Rfam family "Bacterial small subunit ribosomal RNA", at positions 139 to 779 of the family's 1533-position model. Lineage: Bacteria; Pseudomonadati; Pseudomonadota; Gammaproteobacteria; Pseudomonadales; Pseudomonadaceae. The record is from RNAcentral.
GGGGACAACGUUUCGAAAGGAACGCUAAUACCGCAUACGUCCUACGGGAGAAAGCAGGGGACCUUCGGGCCUUGCGCUAUCAGAUGAGCCUAGGUCGGAUUAGCUAGUUGGUGAGGUAAUGGCUCACCAAGGCGACGAUCCGUAACUGGUCUGAGAGGAUGAUCAGUCACACUGGAACUGAGACACGGUCCAGACUCCUACGGGAGGCAGCAGUGGGGAAUAUUGGACAAUGGGCGAAAGCCUGAUCCAGCCAUGCCGCGUGUGUGAAGAAGGUCUUCGGAUUGUAAAGCACUUUAAGUUGGGAGGAAGGGUUGUAGAUUAAUACUCUGCAAUUUUGACGUUACCGACAGAAUAAGCACCGGCUAACUCUGUGCCAGCAGCCGCGGUAAUACAGAGGGUGCAAGCGUUAAUCGGAAUUACUGGGCGUAAAGCGCGCGUAGGUGGUUUGUUAAGUUGGAUGUGAAAUCCCCGGGCUCAACCUGGGAACUGCAUCCAAAACUGGCAAGCUAGAGUAUGGUAGAGGGUGGUGGAAUUUCCUGUGUAGCGGUGAAAUGCGUAGAUAUAGGAAGGAACACCAGUGGCGAAGGCGACCACCUGGACUGAUACUGACACUGAGGUGCGAAAGCGUGGGGAGCAAACAGGAUU